GGGUGCGAUCAUACCAGCACUAAAGCACCGGAUCCCAUCAGAACUCCGAAGUUAAGCGUGCUUGGGCGAGAGUAGUACUAGGAUGGGUGACCUCCUCGUGUUGCAAUAC
This 109-nucleotide ribosomal RNA is filed under the name Triticum dicoccoides. The record is from RNAcentral. Lineage: Eukaryota; Viridiplantae; Streptophyta; Magnoliopsida; Poales; Poaceae.